Molecule: ribosomal RNA, 500 nt
Filed under: uncultured Myrionecta
Lineage: Eukaryota; Ciliophora; Litostomatea; Cyclotrichida; Mesodiniidae
Description: bacterial SSU rRNA
Rfam family: Eukaryotic small subunit ribosomal RNA
Source: RNAcentral
AACUUACCAGGUCAAGACAUGGGCGUGAUUGACAGGCUAAUGACUUUUCUCGAUUCCAUGGAUGGUGGUGCAUGGUCGCACUUAGUUGGUGCAGUGAUUUGUCAGGUUUAUUCCGGUAACGAACGAGACCUCGGCCUUGUAAAUAGCUAUGCUGCUUACGGGGACAUUGGCGGCUACGCCAAGGAAGCUCGAGGCAAUUGCAGAUCUGGAAUGCCCUUAGAUGUCCUGGGUCGCACGCGUGCUACAAUGACGCCACGAACGAGCUUGCGUGAUGAAAGUUACGCAUAAUCAGCAGUCGGCGUCUUAAGGGAUAGUCUCUUGUAACUGUGGGACUCCAACUAGGAAUGUCUCGUAAGCACAAGUCAACAUCUUGUGUUGAUUACGUCCCUGCUCUUUGUACACACCGCCCGUCGCUCCUACCGAUCGAGUGUUUAGGUGAACUUGAUCGACGUAAGGAAGUCAAAUAAACCUGAGCACUAGAGGAAGAGAAGUCGAUCAUU